UAAAAGGGCUCCGCGCCAAAUGCGCAGGCCGAAUGUGACGCGUUCGGUCCGGAAUGGUCAUCAAGACAUUUCGGGAGCGUAAUCUUUGAUCGUGGCAUGUCCGCCAUCGCGGGACGGCCUU
RNAcentral lists this small nuclear RNA (121 nucleotides) under Hydatigera taeniaeformis. RNAcentral's name for it is "Taenia taeniaeformis U11 spliceosomal RNA". It matches the Rfam family "U11 spliceosomal RNA". The record is from Rfam by way of RNAcentral. Lineage: Eukaryota; Metazoa; Platyhelminthes; Cestoda; Cyclophyllidea; Taeniidae.